AACUUAUAUGAUGCUUGUCCCUCAAAAUUUGGGCAGAUUAAUAAAAAGCGAUUGAUUACUCGAAUUGGUUCUCGCAUCCAUGUGCCCAAAGGAUGGACGAGUUCAGUUUGAGAAAAAAAAAAUUGAUACAAGCUCAACAUAAUGCUAAUUGCCAAGCAGAAUUCAACCCCAAAGACUACAAUACAUGCUCAAUAAGGCAGAGUAAGUUGAUAGAAUGCAAUGGCAAUUACAUACAUGGGCAAUAUUAUGAUAUAACAAGAGUUCAAAAGAAAUGAAAGUACUUAUAUCUCUCUCAAUUGGAGUAACAAUUUGUAUGAUCCUACAAAACAUACAACUCUAUCCCGCAUACCACAACUCAGCCAAACAAUAUUUCCAGAGGUAAAGACACAAGCUUAGGUUCCUCGAGGGAAAAAAAACGAAAAAAAUGCAGCUGAAUUGAGGUCUUGAAUCCAAAAUCAUGCUCACUUGUGCCCGCGAAAGUACAGGUAGACUUUCUGCAGUGACAGUACAGAAACAUUGUGAGAAGCAAAUGAAAUUAACAAAGAAAUAGUCAACAGCCAACAACAUUUUUCCCCCUUCUAAUCAAUUGUCAAAGGACAUAACUGCACAUAAUUGCAUUGGGAUUGGUAACAAUUCAUACGAGUAUGAGCUAUUGAACUAAGUUGGAAGCAGAUCAUUGACAAUGUAUGCUGGACUUGCACCUAUAUGAAGAACUUCGAUUUGUAUUCAUGUUGUUUCGAAAAACAAUGAUGCACAAGUUGCCUGCUGCUGCAGAGAACUACAAAUAUUGAGUUUUUUUAUAAGGACCUACAACUACAAAUAUUGAGUUUUUAAAGCAAACAUCAGAAUAUGUAAUUAAACAUUACCAAUUCUUGACACUAAGUUUCUUUUUACCCCCAGUUAUUGUUGUAUAGCAAAUUAACUGGAACUAGCAUCGUAUCACUUUUCAUUGUUAUCAAGCAUCUAUAAUGUCUAAUUAUCUAAUACAUUCAACAAGAGUUCAACAAAAGCCCCACCCUGCCAUUUGCUAUCUUGAGUUUCUGGAUACAUUAAACUCCUAUACAAGUCGGGGCUUCCACUCCGUCCUAAGACUGAUCAAAGAAGAGUGAGGAACCUCUCAUUCGUUUUUGGAAUUCGACAACAGAAAGGGAUUUUACACCAACGACCGACGCCAACCACACACACACCAAAAAGAAGAGAUGACCUCUUAAUCAUAGAAAGAACUCCCAAGAAAACCAACCUUCUCCAUCCAGAGGAAAUCGACUAGAAUAUGUUUAAUGUGAAACUCUUUUUUCUUUAUACUUCCAGAUUGAAGUAAAUUCCAAGAAACUUUUGGAAUCAAACCCACAAGCCAAAGAAAGUUAGCAAGUGAAAAAGAAAAAAAGGUAAAAAGAAAGAAGGCCACUCGGAACAAACACAAAAAGAAGAUUGUGGUCAAAGUUUACGAAGUUGAUGUGCAGACAGUUGAUUUGCAAAAUAAGAAUGCCAAUUCUGUAAAUGCUAACCUGCAAUACCCACAAGCUUAGCAAAACUUCCAAGCAAAAAAGGCCAAAUCCAAUCAGAUAAAAGAUCUGCAAGAAAAGGAGAAGUGAGAACAACAUCUUAUAAAGAGAAGAUCAGAAGCUUGAUAAAAAGAUAUUAUCACAUAAUCAUAUUUUUCUGUAGUUUCGAGUUUCAGUUAUCUAUAGAGAGUUCUACCCCUUUUAAAUCAGUAAAUACAACUACUGCGCGGUACAUUACAAGUUAAAAUCACUUUAAGGUUCAAGAAAUGAAAGGCAGUAAAGUUGAAAUCUAUUUCAACCUGCUAAACUGAUGAUCAAUGAGAAACCAUAGGAAGAAUUGCUCCAUUUCCCAGUCAUUUCCAAAUACACA
RNAcentral lists this long non-coding RNA (1872 nucleotides) under Nicotiana tabacum (common tobacco). RNAcentral describes it as "long non-coding RNA (NTAB_LNC000036)". The record is from RNAcentral. Lineage: Eukaryota; Viridiplantae; Streptophyta; Magnoliopsida; Solanales; Solanaceae.